Molecule: ribosomal RNA, 591 nt
Filed under: uncultured bacterium
Lineage: Bacteria
Description: bacterial SSU rRNA
Rfam family: Bacterial small subunit ribosomal RNA
Source: RNAcentral
GCGUGCUUAAUACAUGCAAGUCGAGCGGGGUUACUGCGACAGAUCCCUUCGGGGUGACGUUGCUUUAACCUAGCGGCGGACGGGUGAGUAACGCGUGGGUAACCUACCCUAAAGCUCGGGAUAACAGUGGGAAACCGCUGCUAAUACCGGAUGACUUUAACCUAUGGCAUCAUGGGUUAAAGAAAGAUUUAUCGCUUUAGGAUGGGCCCGCGUCCCAUUAGCUAGUUGGUGAGGUAACGGCUCACCAAGGCGACGAUGGGUAGCCGGCCUGAGAGGGUGUACGGCCACACUGGGACUGAGACACGGCCCAGACUCCUACGGGAGGCAGCAGUAGGGAAUAUUGCGCAAUGGACGGAAGUCUGACGCAGCGACGCCGCGUGAGCGAUGAAGGCCUUCGGGUCGUAAAGCUCUGUCCUUGGGGAAGAAGGUCUUCGGACUUGACGGUACCCAAGAAGAAAGCCCCGGCUAACUACGUGCCAGCAGCCGCGGUAAUACGUAGGGGGCGAGCGUUGUCCGGAAUUACUGGGCGUAAAGGGUGCGUAGGCGGCCCUUUAAGUCAGAUGUGAAAGGCCACGGCUUAACCGUGGGAUU